CGGGGGGCUGCAGUCGAGAAUAUUUUUCAAUGGGCGAAAGCCUGAAAAUGCGACGCCGCGUGGGGGAUGAAGGUUUUCGGAUUGUAAACCCCUUUUAUUGGAGACGAAAGCUCUUGGUGUGAAUAAUGCCAAGGGUGUGCCUGUACCCAAUGAAUAAGCCACGGCUAACUCCGUGCCAGCAGCCGCGGUAAUACGGAGGUGGCGAGCGUUACUCGGAUUAACUGGGUGUAAAGGGUCUGUAGGCGGCUAAAUAAGUGGGAGGUGAAAUCUUUCGGCUUAACCGGAAAACUGCCUCUCAAACUAUUUGGCUUGAGACUGGAAGAGGAGAGUGGAAUUGUCGGUGUAAGGGUGAAAUCUGUGGAUAUCGACAAGAACGCCUGUGGGGAAGCCGACUCUCUGGUCCAGAACUGACGCUGAGGGACGAAAGCUAGGGGAAUCAAUAGGAUUAGAUACCCUUGUAGUC
RNAcentral lists this ribosomal RNA (463 nucleotides) under uncultured microorganism. RNAcentral describes it as "bacterial SSU rRNA". It matches the Rfam family "Bacterial small subunit ribosomal RNA", at positions 342 to 795 of the family's 1533-position model. The record is from RNAcentral.